Quercus robur (English oak) is the source of this 2087-nucleotide RNA transcript. It is a transcript of the gene named putative PAP-specific phosphatase, mitochondrial, with no coding region annotated. Lineage: Eukaryota; Viridiplantae; Streptophyta; Magnoliopsida; Fagales; Fagaceae. The transcript is spliced from 9 exons. The record is from RefSeq and is a predicted model, not a curated record.
UUAGCAUAACUUCCAAUCUCACCAACCAACCAAGCUGUGCACCCAAAAGGACCGUUAAGAUUUCCUCACCCCUCCCCUUCCGCUCUUCUCAACUCCACAAACACUCCAAACCAAAGCAAGCACCUACACUUCCCCAGCGGCCAGUACUAUCACUGACUCGCCUCCACUAUCCAACAAUCUCCACCGUUAAAACUUCAUCAAUGAAUCUCCCCCACUACGCUCCUCCAUUCCCCACCGUCCGAUUCAUCCACACUCAUCAUCAUCGUUCCAGAUCCACUGCCACUACUACCUCUCCACUCAGUCGCGGACGACUCUCUACUUUUGGUGAAUUUUGCAGGGCGAGUCUGCCAUUUCCGAUUCGGGAAGCGAAGUAUUACAGAGAGCUCGAAGCUGCCGUGGACGUAGUUGAGAGAGCUUGUCAUCUUUGUGUCGACGUGAAAUCAUCUUUGUUUUCGAGUGAUGGACGGAUUGUUGAAAAGAAUGAUCAGACUCCAGUCACGGUUGCAGAUUUUGGGGUGCAGGCUCUGGUCAGUUUGGAAUUGGGCAAACUGUUCCCUUCUAUUCCCUUGGUGGCUGAAGAGGACUCUGCCUUUGUACGUUCAAAUAAUCUAGAAGAUCCUGUGGUAAAGGCAGUAACUCGUCAAGCAAGUGCUGAAGAUAAGCCAUGGACACAUGAUGAUGUGCUCAAGGCAAUUGACAGAGGAGGGAAGGAAGCUUUUACCUUUGGGACCAAGCCAGCCACAUAUUGGGUACUUGAUCCCAUAGAUGGCACACGAGGAUUUCUAAAAGGAAGUGAGGCCUUAUAUGUGGUAGGUUUGGCUCUUGUAGUUGAAGGAGAGAUUGUACUAGGUGUUAUGGGUUGCCCUAACUGGCAGUAUGAUUCUUCCAAUGAAUCUACAACUGAGGUCCAGGAAAAUAGAAAAAACUUAGCUGGGUCAGGUAUCAUAAUGAUUGCUCAUAUUGGUUGUGGAGUAUGGACAAAGAGGUUAUCAAAUAUGCUGUAUGCCACAACCAAAGUGAUUAAUGGUUGGACCAGAUGCUUUGUAGAUGGAUGUUGCUUAAUACAUGAGGCACGCUUUUGUGCUCCAGAUAGUCAAUCAUCGGACUCAUUUCCCCUGUCAACAACAUUCAGCACCACAACAAUUGCAGACAGUGCUGGGAAUAAUCAAACUCUUCUUUUGCCCACAUGUUGUGGAAGGUUUAUAUUUGUUUCAUUAAUAGUAAAACUAUAUCUUCCUACUUACCGGCUUCUACUUGAAAUCCUGAUUGCUAAUUUGUUGCGAGAAGGUGCUAACUCAUUGCCAGAGUUCUUCUAUCUGCCAACAUCAACCAAUGCAUAGAUCCAAAACGAAACAUCUACUGUACAUACACAUGCAUGUAUUGGACUUAAUUUGCUGCCUUUGUUUAUAGGAGGAUUAUUUCUUGUGUUUACAUAACCAAAGUUUGGUUUUGCAGUUUCAAGUUACCUAUGUAGAAUUUGGAUUAGAGGUUGAUGCAGGAAGUGCAAGAAAAAUCUUAUUUUUAUUUAGUUUUAUUUUAUUUUCUGAGUCAACUGUAUUUUUUAUUUUAGGUCCUAGUAUUUAAUUGGCAUUUUUAUUUAACAUCAAGGGUAUUUAAUAACAUAAGCCAAUUAGAGUUUUCCUAUGUCAGUUAGAAUUAGGAUUUAGCACUCCCAUAUGAGCAAAGUAUUGUACUCCUAUGAAAGGGGGAAUAUUCUGACAAAUAAAAUCUCUAUUGAAAUUGUUCUCCGUGGACUGCUGUCAACUGCAGUCAACCUUAGGUGCUGACUCUUAGAGGUUUCUAAUGCUUGGUGUUGACUCCAAGCAAGCUUAGGUGCCAAUUUCUAGCUUAUGCAAGUAUUUAAUGGUGGCUUCAGGUAGGGCUGCUGUUUAUAUUCACCAAGCAAAAGUUCAAACAAGCAUUAAGAUUUGGGAUCAUGCUGUUGGCAUAAUAUGUGUGCUCGAAGCAGGGGGAAAGGUUACUGACUGGAAAGGGAGUCAAGUUGAUCUUGCUGCAGAUAAAGAUGGACGGAGGAUUAUAUAUCCUUCAAGUGGAAUCCUUGUGACUAAUGGCAACUUACACGAUCA